UACAGAGGGUGCGAGCGUUAAUCGGAAUUACUGGGCGUAAAGCGCGCGUAGGCGGCUUUGCAAGCCGGAUGUGAAAUCCCCGGGCUUAACCUGGGAACUGCAUUGGUGACUGCAAGGCUUGAGUGUGUCAGAGGGAGGUGGAAUUCCGCGUGUAGCAGUGAAAUGCGUAGAUAUGCGGAGGAACACCGAUGGCGAAGGCAGCCUCCUGGGAUAACACUGACGCUCAUGCACGAAAGCGUGGGGAGCAAACAGG
This 253-nucleotide ribosomal RNA is filed under the name uncultured bacterium. Its description in RNAcentral is "partial 16S ribosomal RNA". It matches the Rfam family "Bacterial small subunit ribosomal RNA", at positions 524 to 776 of the family's 1533-position model. The record is from RNAcentral.